Molecule: ribosomal RNA, 681 nt
Filed under: uncultured bacterium
Lineage: Bacteria
Description: bacterial SSU rRNA
Rfam family: Bacterial small subunit ribosomal RNA
Source: RNAcentral
AUUCGCCCUUAGAGUUUGAUUCUCGGCUCAGGAUGAACGCUGGCGGCGUGCCUAAUACAUGCAAGUCGAGCGAACCACUUCGGUGGGAAGCGGCGAACGGGUGAGUAACACGUAGGUGAUCUGCCCAUCAGACGGGGACAACGAUUGGAAACGAUCGCUAAUACCGGAUAGGACGAAAGUUUAAAGAUGCUCCUGGCAUCACUGAUGGAUGAGCCUGCGGCGCAUUAGCUAGUUGGUGGGGUAAAGGCCUACCAAGGCGACGAUGCGUAGCCGACCUGAGAGGGUGAACGGCCACACUGGGACUGAGACACGGCCCAGACUCCUACGGGAGGCAGCAGUAGGGAAUCUUCGGCAAUGGGCGAAAGCCUGACCGAGCAACGCCGCGUGAAUGAAGAAGGCCUUCGGGUUGUAAAAUUCUGUUAUAAGGGAAGAAAGGUGAUAGGAGGAAAUGACUAUCAAUUGACGGUACCUUAUGAGAAAGCCACGGCUAACUACGUGCCAGCAGCCGCGGUAAUACGUAGGUGGCAAGCGUUAUCCGGAAUUAUUGGGCGUAAAGAGCGCGCAGGUGGUUAAUUAAGUCUGAUGUGAAAGCCCACGGCUUAACCGUGGAGGGUCAUUGGAAACUGGUUGACUUGAGUGCAGAAGAGGGAAGUGGAAUUCCAUGUGUAGCGGUGAAAUGCG